GACGAACGCUGGCGGCGUGCUUAACACAUGCAAGUCGAACGGUGAAGGGAUCAGCUUGCUGGUUCUGGAUGAGUGGCGCACGGGUGAGUAACACGUGAGUAACCUGCCCCCUUCUUCUGGAUAACCGCAUGAAAGUGUGGCUAAUACGGGAUAUUCUGCUCCUGCUGCAUGGUGGGUGUGGGAAAGAUAUUGUUUCGGUGGGGGAUGGGCUCGCGGCCGAUCAGCUUGUUGGUGGGGUGAUGGCCUACCAAGGCGGUGACGGGUAGCCGGCCUGAGAGGGGGGACGGUCACACUGGGACUGAGACAAGGGCCAGACACAUACGGGAGGCAGCAGUGGGGAAGAUUGCACAAGGGGCGCAAGCCUGAUGCAGCGACGCCGGGUGAGGGAUGGAGGCCUGCGGGAUGUGAACCUCUUGCGCGAGUGAAGCAGGCGUGUCCCUUGUGGGUGGGUUGACGGUAGCUGGAAAAGAAGCGCCGGCUAACUACGUG
RNAcentral lists this ribosomal RNA (489 nucleotides) under uncultured bacterium. RNAcentral describes it as "partial 16S ribosomal RNA". It matches the Rfam family "Bacterial small subunit ribosomal RNA", at positions 28 to 507 of the family's 1533-position model. The record is from RNAcentral.